RNAcentral lists this unclassified non-coding RNA (344 nucleotides) under soil metagenome. Its description in RNAcentral is "partial contains 5.8S ribosomal RNA, internal transcribed spacer 2, and large subunit ribosomal RNA". The stretch from base 1 to 120 matches the Rfam family "5.8S ribosomal RNA", at positions 35 to 154 of the family's 154-position model. The record is from RNAcentral.
GAUGAAGAACGCAGCGAAAUGCGAUACGUAAUGUGAAUUGCAGAAUUCAGUGAAUCAUCGAGUCUUUGAACGCACAUUGCGCCCCCUGGUAUUCCGGGGGGCACGCCUGUCCGAGCGUCAUUGCUGCCCUCAAGCACGGCUUGUGUGUUGGGCCUCCGUCCUCCUCCCGGGGGACGGGCCCGAAAGGCAGCGGCGGCACCGCGUCCGGUCCUCGAGCGUAUGGGGCUUCGUCACCCGCUCUUGUAGGCCCGGCCGGCGCUUGCCGACACAUCAAUCUUUUUUCCAGGUUGACCUCGGAUCAGGUAGGGAUACCCGCUGAACUUAAGCAUAUCAAUAGCGGAGGA